RNAcentral lists this long non-coding RNA (331 nucleotides) under Ananas comosus (pineapple). Its description in RNAcentral is "long non-coding RNA (ACOM_LNC007615)". Lineage: Eukaryota; Viridiplantae; Streptophyta; Magnoliopsida; Poales; Bromeliaceae. The record is from RNAcentral.
UGCUAUUCCCGAUUAUUCCGGAAUAGUUUGAAAUUUGCUAUUCCACCAUUUUGGUGGAAUAGUGCUAUUCCAAUGCUUAAUUUCAAACUUAAUUAAAAUUAUAAAUUAAAUUAAAACUAAAUUAUAUAAAUAUAAUAUGUUAUAUAUGAUAAUACAUUAUUUUUAUUAUAAGCUUAUUAAUUGUACUAUAUUAAUAUAUAUUAUUUAUAUUUAAAUAUUAUAAUAAAUUCUUUUUAUUAAAUUUAAGUUUAAGUAAAAUUUUAAAAAAGUUUAUAAAUUUAUUAUAAUAAAUUAUUUUUAUUAAUUGUUGCCACUCCUAUUCUUAUUUUAA